GUCCCUUUCGUCUAGAGGCCUAGGACACCGGGUUUUCAUCCCGGCAACACGGGUUCGAAUCCCGUAGGGGAUGCCA
This 76-nucleotide transfer RNA is filed under the name Lentisphaerota bacterium. Its description in RNAcentral is "Lentisphaerae bacterium (anaerobic digester metagenome) tRNA-Glu". It matches the Rfam family "tRNA". From Rfam's summary of the family: Transfer RNA (tRNA) molecules are approximately 80 nucleotides in length. Their secondary structure includes four short double-helical elements and three loops (D, anti-codon, and T loops). The record is from RNAcentral. Lineage: Bacteria; Pseudomonadati; Lentisphaerota. RNAcentral also lists the same sequence under 1 other name.